UACGAGGGGGGCAAGCGUUGUUCGGAAUUAUUGGGCGUAAAGGGCGCGUAGGCGGUCCGGUAAGUCUCCAGUGAAAUCUAUGGGCUCAACCCAUAGCCUGCUGGGGAAACUGCCGGGCUUGAGUGUGGGAGAGGUGAGUGGAAUUCCCGGUGUAGCGGUGAAAUGCGUAGAUAUCGUCUGGAACGCCGAAGGUGAAAACAGCUCGCUGGGAUUGUGCUGACGCUGAGACACGAAAGCCAGGGGAGCGAACGGG
This 253-nucleotide ribosomal RNA is filed under the name uncultured bacterium. RNAcentral's name for it is "partial 16S ribosomal RNA". It matches the Rfam family "Bacterial small subunit ribosomal RNA", at positions 524 to 776 of the family's 1533-position model. The record is from RNAcentral.